GACGUAGGGCGCGAGCGUUGUCCGGAUUUAUUGGGCGUAAAGAGCUCGUAGGCGGUUUAGUAAGUCGGGUGUGAAACCUCCAGGCUCAACCUGGAGCCGCCACUCGAUACUGCUAUGACUUGAGUCUGGUAGGGGACCACGGAAUUCCUGGUGUAGCGGUGAAAUGCGCAGAUAUCAGGAGGAACACCGGUGGCGAAGGCGGUGGUCUGGGCCAGUACUGACGCUGAGGAGCGAAAGCGUGGGGAGCGAACAGG
This 254-nucleotide ribosomal RNA is filed under the name uncultured bacterium. RNAcentral describes it as "partial 16S ribosomal RNA". It matches the Rfam family "Bacterial small subunit ribosomal RNA", at positions 524 to 776 of the family's 1533-position model. The record is from RNAcentral.